This 248-nucleotide ribosomal RNA is filed under the name Candidatus Altarchaeales archaeon. RNAcentral describes it as "partial 16S ribosomal RNA". It matches the Rfam family "Bacterial small subunit ribosomal RNA", at positions 1297 to 1533 of the family's 1533-position model. The record is from RNAcentral. Lineage: Archaea; Nanobdellati; Candidatus Altarchaeota; Candidatus Altarchaeia; Candidatus Altarchaeales.
AUUGCAGGCUGCAACCCGCCUGCAUGAAGCUGGAGUUGCUAGUAACCGCGCGUCAGCCAUAGUGCGGUGAAUACGUACCCGGGGCUUGUACACACCGCCCGUCACGUCAUGGGAGUCGGUAACGCCUGAAGCCGGUAGUCUAGCCUGCAAAGGGGGACGCUGUCGAAGGCGGGACUGGCAACUGGGACGAAGUCGUAACAAGGUAGCGGUACCGGAAGGUGCGGCUGGAUCACCUCCUUUCUAGGGAG